UACGGAGGAUGCGAGCGUUAUCCGGAUUUAUUGGGUUUAAAGGGUGCGUAGGCGGGAUGCCAAGUCAGCGGUAAAAAUGCGGUGCUCAACGCCGUCGAGCCGUUGAAACUGGCGUCCUUGAGUGGGCGAGAAGUAUGCGGAAUGCGUGGUGUAGCGGUGAAAUGCAUAGAUAUCACGCAGAACUCCGAUUGCGAAGGCAGCAUACCGGCGCCCUACUGAUGCUGAGGCACGAAAGCGUGGGUAUCGAACAGG
RNAcentral lists this ribosomal RNA (252 nucleotides) under uncultured bacterium. RNAcentral's name for it is "partial 16S ribosomal RNA". It matches the Rfam family "Bacterial small subunit ribosomal RNA", at positions 524 to 776 of the family's 1533-position model. The record is from RNAcentral.